RNAcentral lists this transfer RNA (75 nucleotides) under Bacillota bacterium. RNAcentral describes it as "Firmicutes bacterium (gut metagenome) tRNA-Gln". It matches the Rfam family "tRNA". From Rfam's summary of the family: Transfer RNA (tRNA) molecules are approximately 80 nucleotides in length. Their secondary structure includes four short double-helical elements and three loops (D, anti-codon, and T loops). Further hydrogen bonds mediate the characteristic L-shaped molecular structure. tRNAs have two regions of fundamental functional importance: the anti-codon, which is responsible for specific mRNA codon recognition, and the 3' end, to which the tRNAs corresponding amino acid is attached (by aminoacyl-tRNA synthetases). tRNAs cope with the degeneracy of the genetic code in two manners: having more than one tRNA (with a specific anti-codon) for a particular amino acid; and 'wobble' base-pairing, i.e. permitting non-standard base-pairing at the 3rd anti-codon position. The record is from RNAcentral. Lineage: Bacteria; Bacillati; Bacillota. RNAcentral also lists the same sequence under 4 other names.
UGGGCUGUCGUCAAGCGGUAAGACACAGCACUUUGACUGCUGCAUUCGUAGGUUCGAAUCCUGCCAGCCCAGCCA